GACGAACGCUGGCGGCGUGCUUAACACAUGCAAGUCGAACGGAAAGGCCCUGCUUUUGUGGGGUGCUCGAGUGGCGAACGGGUGAGUAACACGUGAGUAACCUGCCCUUGACUUUGGGAUAACUUCAGGAAACUGGGGCUAAUACCGGAUAGGAGCUCCUGCUGCAUGGUGGGGGUUGGAAAGUUUCGGCGGUUGGGGAUGGACUCGCGGCUUAUCAGCUUGUUGGUGGGGUAGUGGCUUACCAAGGCUUUGACGGGUAGCCGGCCUGAGAGGGUGACCUGCCACAUUGGGACUGAGAUACGGCCCAGACUCCUACGGGAGGCAGCGGUGGGGAAUAUUGCACAAUGGGCGGAAGCCUGAUGCAGCAACGCCGCGUGCGGGAUGACGGCCUUCGGGUUGUAAACCGCUUUCGCCUGUGACGAAGCGUGAGUGACGGUAAUGGGUAAAGAAGCACCGGCUAACUACGUG
This 468-nucleotide ribosomal RNA is filed under the name uncultured bacterium. Its description in RNAcentral is "partial 16S ribosomal RNA". It matches the Rfam family "Bacterial small subunit ribosomal RNA", at positions 28 to 507 of the family's 1533-position model. The record is from RNAcentral.